AACGAACGCUGGCGGCAUGCCUAACACAUGCAAGUCGAACGAGACCUUCGGGUCUAGUGGCGCACGGGUGCGUAACGCGUGGGAACCUGCCCUUAGGUUCGGAAUAACUCCCCGAAAGGGGUGCUAAUACCGGAUAAUGUCUUCGGACCAAAGAUUUAUCGCCUUUGGAUGGGCCCGCGUUGGAUUAGCUAGUUGGUAGGGUAAAAGCCUACCAAGGCGACGAUCCAUAGCUGGUCUGAGAGGAUGAUCAGCCACACUGGGACUGAGACACGGCCCAGACUCCUACGGGAGGAAGCAGUGGGGAAUAUUGGACAAUGGGCGAAAGCCUGAUCCAGCAAUGCCGCGUGAGUGAUGAAGGCCUUAGGGUUGUAAAGCUCUUUUAACCGGGAUGAUAAUGACAGUACCGGGAGAAUAAGCGCCGGCUAACUCCGUG
This 433-nucleotide ribosomal RNA is filed under the name uncultured bacterium. Its description in RNAcentral is "partial 16S ribosomal RNA". It matches the Rfam family "Bacterial small subunit ribosomal RNA", at positions 29 to 507 of the family's 1533-position model. The record is from RNAcentral.